This 497-nucleotide ribosomal RNA is filed under the name uncultured bacterium. Its description in RNAcentral is "partial 16S ribosomal RNA". It matches the Rfam family "Bacterial small subunit ribosomal RNA", at positions 28 to 507 of the family's 1533-position model. The record is from RNAcentral.
GACGAACGCUGGCGGCGUGCCUAAUACAUGCAAGUUGAGCGCUGAAGGUUGGUACUUGUACCAACUGGAUGAGCAGCGAGCGGGUGAGUAACGCGUGGGGAAUCUGCCUUUGAGCGGGGGACAACAUUUGGAAACGAAUGCUAAUACCGCAUAAAAACUUUAAACACAAGUUUUAAGUUUGAAAGAUGCAAUUGCAUCACUCAAAGAUUAUCCCGCGUUGUAUUAGCUAGUUGGUGAGGUAAAGGCUCACCAAGGCGAUGAUACAUAGCCGACCUGAGAGGGUGAUCGGCCACAUUGGGACUGAGACACGGCCCAAAAUCCUAAGGGAGGCAGCAGUAGGGAAUCUUCGGCAAUGGACGAAAGUCUGACCGAGCAACGCCGCGUGAGUGAAGAAGGGUUUCGGAUCGUAAAACUCUGUUGGUAGAGAAGAACGUUGGUGAGAGUGGAAAGCUCAUAAAGUGACGGUAACUACCCAGAAAGGGACGGCUAACUACGUG